This 410-nucleotide ribosomal RNA is filed under the name uncultured Gammaproteobacteria bacterium. Its description in RNAcentral is "bacterial SSU rRNA". It matches the Rfam family "Bacterial small subunit ribosomal RNA", at positions 9 to 419 of the family's 1533-position model. The record is from RNAcentral. Lineage: Bacteria; Pseudomonadati; Pseudomonadota; Gammaproteobacteria.
GAGUUUGAUCAUGGCUCAGAUUGAACGCUGGCGGCAUGCCUAACACAUGCAAGUCGAACGGCAGCACAGCCCGCAAGGGUGGGUGGCGAGUGGCGGACGGGUGAGGAAUGCGUCGGAAUCUGCCCAGUCGUGGGGGAUAACUAGCCGAAAGGUUAGCUAAUACCGCAUGCGACCGAGAGGUGAAAGCGGGGGACCGCAAGGCCUCGCGCGAUUGGAUGAGCCGACGCCGGAUUAGCUUGUUGGUGGGGUAAAGGCCUACCAAGGCGACGAUCCGUAGCUGGUCUGAGAGGAUGAUCAGCCACACUGGAACUGAGACACGGUCCAGACUCCUACGGGAGGCAGCAGUGGGGAAUAUUGGACAAUGGGCGCAAGCCUGAUCCAGCAAUGCCGCGUGUGUGAAGAAGGCCUUC